RNAcentral lists this long non-coding RNA (1266 nucleotides) under Anas platyrhynchos platyrhynchos (common mallard). RNAcentral describes it as "lncRNA (ENSAPLG00000018939.1)". The record is from RNAcentral. Lineage: Eukaryota; Metazoa; Chordata; Aves; Anseriformes; Anatidae.
UACGUACCAAGUCAUUAUCAGCAGGUCUUACAUAAAUUCAUCCUGUUCUCUCUGCUCCAGGCAUGGGCAGCUGGAGGGCAAGUGUGCUGCUGGCUACUUCUGCCUCGCUGGGAGCUCGCAGUCUGCUCCACAGGGCCCUGGCUUUUCCUGGCGCUUUCUGUCUGGAUGCCGCUGGGGCCAGGUGUGUGCUGGGCUGUGUCCUGCAGGUUUCUAUUGCCUGGAGGGCUCUGAGGUGCCCACACCAUGUCCUUCCAAUACUAUCAGAGAUGUUCCAGGGGCUGGGCGGAAAGAAGACUGCCUGCCCUGUCCACCCGGCCGCUGGUGCAAAGCAGGUGGGACUUGGGGGAAUGAUGAGGGGGAGGGAAUGAGAGUUGCUUUUCACGUAUCCCUGAAUCUGGUCAGGCUAGCUUUGGUAUCAGCUACUGUGCUGUGGGACAGUCCUUUACAGUCAAUUACAGUGAAAGGAUGGCUCCUUAAAGCUUGGUUUUCUGUUUGUUAGGGGACUCAGAGGCUUAUCCAUGUCCCUCAGGACACUAUUGCCUUGGAGGUAACGUCAGUGACCAAAGCAGUCUCCUGGCACCUCAGAAAUGCCCUCCACACACUUACCGCAAACACCCUGGAGCUCAGAGUGUGGCAGAUUGCCAGCCGUGUCCUCCGGGCUAUCACUGCCCUUUAUCAGGUAAGUGCCAGAUGAAAGCCCACCCUCUCCCACCACUGGAGCUGAUUACAAAACUCCCCAAGACGAGAUAGGGAAGGGGAGAGGUUAGUUCAUGUUCACAGUGAGCUUAGAGCUCUUCUCUAAAACACCUCCCGGCCAUUCAGCCUCCUUUUCUUCAUUCUUUUCUCUUCCCAACAGGUCUGACCAGGUUUGAGGAUUAUCCAUGCCCCCUGGGAUACUGGUGCCCUGGUAAAGGGGACGCUUUCCUUUGUCCACCUGGUACUUCCAGGAGCCAGCCUGGUGCAAAAUCACUGGAAGAGUGCGAUCCCUGCUCACCUGGAUACUAUUGCCCAGACCCAGCACACACAGGGCUACCUAACAGCCAAGGAGUACCUUGUAAACCUGGCUUUGAAUGCCCAGCAGGUGAUAUAACCAUGCAUCUUGGUUUUCUUUAUUUCCGUCUUUUUCUGAGUCCAGAUAGGUGAGCAGUGCACAGCGGGCAUAAGUAAUCCAGGGCUAGAUACUCAGGUGUGUUAGCAUCUCAUGCUAAAUGACUAAUUGGUUUCCAAAGGAUCUCUGUCCUUUUGUAAGCAAUAGAAACAGUAGAG